UACAGAGGGUGCAAGCGUUAAUCGGAGUUACUGGGCGUAAAGGGCGCGUAGGCGGUUUGAUGGGUGUGAUGUGAAAGCCUUGGGCUUAACCUGAGAAGUGCAUCGCAAACUACCGAACUGGAGUAGAUGAGAGGGUGGCGGAAUUUCCGGUGUAGCGGUGAAAUUCGUAGAUAUUCGGAAGAACACCAGUGGCGAAGGCGACUUACUGGACACAUAUUGACGCUGAGGUGCGAAAGCGUGGGGAGCAAACAGG
RNAcentral lists this ribosomal RNA (253 nucleotides) under uncultured bacterium. RNAcentral's name for it is "partial 16S ribosomal RNA". It matches the Rfam family "Bacterial small subunit ribosomal RNA", at positions 524 to 776 of the family's 1533-position model. The record is from RNAcentral.